UGCUAUCUCUCUGGGCCCACAGGCUGUGUUCUUUACACCAACUGUAUAGAAGGAAAAGGCACAGUAAAUGCACACCCCAUAUAUAACUCAGCCCAGGCCCUUUGCUUGGUCUAUAUUGUGAAUGGGGGAUAUGG
Molecule: small nucleolar RNA, 134 nt
Organism: Suncus etruscus (white-toothed pygmy shrew)
Lineage: Eukaryota; Metazoa; Chordata; Mammalia; Eulipotyphla; Soricidae
Product: small nucleolar RNA SNORA51
Exons: 1
Source: RefSeq, a predicted model, not a curated record